Molecule: transfer RNA, 72 nt
Filed under: Capra hircus (goat)
Lineage: Eukaryota; Metazoa; Chordata; Mammalia; Artiodactyla; Bovidae
Also listed under: 1 other name
Rfam family: tRNA
About the family: Transfer RNA (tRNA) molecules are approximately 80 nucleotides in length. Their secondary structure includes four short double-helical elements and three loops (D, anti-codon, and T loops).
Source: Rfam by way of RNAcentral
UCCCUGCUGGCUCAGACGGUAAAGAAUUUGCCUGCAAUGCAGAAGAUCCAGGUUUGAUCCCUGGGUAGGGAA